UUGGUCCAAAGGCAUGUUUUCCAAGAUCUUUGUACCGAUCGAAACGAACUCCAGGCACACAUUCAUGGAGCUGUAUCAUUUGCCACAUUGUGUGUAAGGUUAUACACCAUGCUUGUACCGAUCGAAACGAACUCCCGGCACACAUUCAUGGAGCUGUAUCAUUUGCCACAUUGUGUGUAAGGUUAUACACCAUGAUAAGAUCAUAACGGCCGUCCCCGGACCCCUGAUGGACAAAGACAACUUUACUUCAACCACAGUAAAUAAAUCCUUUGAAGACAUAAUUAGGGACUAAAAGUAUGCU
This 301-nucleotide long non-coding RNA is filed under the name Nicotiana benthamiana. Its description in RNAcentral is "long non-coding RNA (NBEN_LNC014560)". Lineage: Eukaryota; Viridiplantae; Streptophyta; Magnoliopsida; Solanales; Solanaceae. The record is from RNAcentral.